AUUGAACGCUGGCGGCAUGCCUUACACAUGCAAGUCGAACGGCAGCACGGGUGCUUGCACCUGGUGGCGAGUGGCGAACGGGUGAGUAAUAUAUCGGAACUUACCUUAUUGUGGGGGAUAACGCAGCGAAAGCUGCGCUAAUACCGCAUAAUCCCUAAGGGGGAAAGCGGGGGACCGUAAGGCCUCGCGCAACUAGAGCGGCCGAUACCUGAUUAGCUAGUUGGUGAGGUAAAGGCUCACCAAGGCAACGAUCAGUAGCUGUUCUGAGAGGACGAUCAGCCCAACUGGGACUGAGACACGGCCCAGACUCCUACGGGAGGCAGCAGUGGGGAAUUUUGGACUAUGGGGGCAACCCUGAUCCAGCAAUGCCGCGUGAGUGAAGAAGGCCUUCGGGUUGUAAAGCUCUUUUGUCAGGGAAGAAACAGCAGCUCUAACACAGUUUGCGAAUGACGGUACCUGAAGAAUAAGCACCGGCUAACUACGUGCCAGCCGCCGCCGUAA
This 501-nucleotide ribosomal RNA is filed under the name uncultured bacterium. Its description in RNAcentral is "partial 16S ribosomal RNA". It matches the Rfam family "Bacterial small subunit ribosomal RNA", at positions 30 to 523 of the family's 1533-position model. The record is from RNAcentral.